Long non-coding RNA from Aethina tumida (small hive beetle), 412 nucleotides. RefSeq lists it as uncharacterized. NCBI's taxonomy places the organism in Eukaryota, Metazoa, Arthropoda, Insecta, Coleoptera, Nitidulidae. The record is from RefSeq and is a predicted model, not a curated record. The transcript is spliced from 2 exons.
CAUAACCAGUAAUAAAAUCUUCCCAGAAUAUUUUGUGAUAUCCCCGUCUAGAAAAAUCCCCUCAAAUAUCGCUUGUGCAUAAAUACGUGUCCAUACGUUUAAAGAUUUUAGAAAGAAAACAAAAUAAAAACAGAAAUGAAAGUCGCUUUGAUUAUUUUACUCUUAACUAUCAGCAUGGUGGCUGUCACCCAUUCAUGUCAUUUGGAGGACUACGCUUUAUGUGAUGUUUUAUAUAAAAGAAUGUGUAAAAUAAAAGACUGUAGGAGACAAUGUGCAAGAAAUGUGGCCAGUCAUAAAGCUCGCUGUGAAAGUGGUAUUUGCAAAUGUUAUCGAUAAAGCAUCGAAAAAUUUUAAAUUUAAUUAUUGAUUAUAUUACUACGUUUAUUAUUAUUAAAAACUAUUUAUUAAUGAG